This 1152-nucleotide long non-coding RNA is filed under the name Equus caballus (horse). RNAcentral's name for it is "lncRNA (ENSECAG00000051198.1)". Lineage: Eukaryota; Metazoa; Chordata; Mammalia; Perissodactyla; Equidae. The record is from RNAcentral.
CAGCCGUGAAGCCAACUCUGCAUGUGGUCUGUGAGCACUCUGAGGUGUGGAAAGGUUGCCUCUGCUGGUUGGUUAAGAGCUAGAGCAACGACUAAAGCAGUGGUUCUCGAACUUGAGUGUGCCUCAGAAUGACCUGGAAGGUGUUUUCAACCACAGGUGGCUGGGCGCCGACCCCAGAGUUUUUGAGUCGGUAGGUCUAGGGUAGGGCCCGAGGACUGGCGUUUCCAACAAGGUGCCGGGUUCCCGGGGGAUGCUCAUGCUGUCGCUCUGGGGACCACACUUUCAGAAAGCCUGGACUAGAGACGAAGCCGGCUUGAAAGCUUGGCUGUACUCGUGUAAUCUCAGGUAAGUCGCUUAAACUCAGCCUUAGAUUCCUCGUGUGGAAAACGGAAAUAGAGGACCGGCGUUCCCAUGUUACUGUGAAGAUGAAAUGAGGGCAGAAGGCCCUUGGCACAGGCCCCGGCACGUGGCAACCUCCGAAUGGAUGUCGGCAAUUAUUGUGUAUUUUUUAAUUAUCAGUAUUACUGAGGAUCAAAAGAUACCACGGCAGGCGUUUCGUCCUCCUCUAACUUCCCUUGUCCCCUGUCUCUACAGGGAUUUCUGUCCCCACAAUAGGGUAGCUAAAUUCAUACGCAGAGUAUGCGUAAUCCUAAAUCUCAGUGCUCAGAACACAGAGGAGGAAUCCUGUCACGGCCUGUACUGGGAGAAAAGGCAGGUGCUGAUCGUAGAAAGAACUGAAGCUCGUGGUCACCUGCAAGCCACCAUCCAACACGCCAGGGCAAAGACUUGCUGCUCCCUGGCCUGGCCUGAACCAGCAGGUGCCCUCCACAUUCCCACUCAACACAAGUAGGUGGGUGCCCUCUAACAGGGCGUCAGGCACUCUUUUGAGUAUCUGUCUUACACCACAGCCACCAGUGCCAUCCUCUCUUGCCCUCCUCUCCCCCUACCCCGACCCCUCACCUCCUCAGGCCGGUCACUUUGCUUUGUCUGGUUCCGGUUCUUUGGCCUCAGAUCUGAUUUCCUCAGGUCGAGGCCCUCAGGAUAUCAUUUGGACAAACUCUGGAUCUCAUUUCUGAAGGCCUGUUUUUCUAAUUUCCCUGCCCCGUGCCCCUCACACCUGCCAAAGGAGAACCGCGGCUAGGGAUGGGUCUG